RNAcentral lists this ribosomal RNA (468 nucleotides) under uncultured bacterium. RNAcentral describes it as "partial 16S ribosomal RNA". It matches the Rfam family "Bacterial small subunit ribosomal RNA", at positions 28 to 507 of the family's 1533-position model. The record is from RNAcentral.
GACGAACGCUGGCGGCGUGCUUAACACAUGCGAGUCGAACGGAAAGGCCCUGCUUUUGUGGGGUGCUCGAGUGGCGAACGGGUGAGUAACACGUGAGUAACCUGCCCUUUACUUUGGGAUAACUUCAGGAAACUGGGGCUAAUACCGGAUAGGAGCUCCUGCUGCAUGGUGGGGGUUGGAAAGUUUCGGCGGUUGGGGAUGGACUCGCGGCUUAUCAGCUUGUUGGUGGGGUAGUGGCUUACCAAGGCUUUGACGGGUAGCCGGCCUGAGAGGGUGACCGGCCACAUUGGGACUGAGAUACGGCCCAGACUCCUACGGGAGGCAGCAGUGGGGAAUAUUGCACAAUGGGCGGAAGCCUGAUGCAGCAACGCCGCGUGCGGGAUGACGGCCUUCGGGUUGUAAACCGCUUUCGCCUGUGACGAAGCGUGAGUGACGGUAAUGGGUAAAGAAGCACCGGCUAACUACGUG